GCAUAUCAAUAAGCGGAGGAAAAGAAACUAACAAGGAUUCCCCUAGUAACGGCGAGUGAAGCGGGAUGAGCUCAAAUUUAAAAUCUGGCGGCCUCAGGUCGUCCGAGUUGUAGUCUAGAGAAUCGUUUUCCGCGUUGGCCUGUGUACAAGUCCCUUGGAACAGGGCGUCAUAGAGGGUGAGAAUCCCGUCCUUGACACAGACUACCAAUGCUUUGUGAUGCGAUCUCGAAGAGUCGAGUUGUUUGGGAAUGCAGCUCAAAAUGGGUGGUAAAUUCCAUCUAAAGCUAAAUAUUGGCGAGAGACCGAUAGCGAACAAGUACCGUGAGGGAAAGAUGAAAAGCACUUUGGAAAGAGAGUUAAACAGUACGUGAAAUUGUUAAAAGGGAAACGAUUGAAGUCAGUCAUGCUUUCCGAGACUCAGCCGAUUCUGUCGGUGUACUUCUCGGUUGGCAGGCCAGCAUCAGUUUCGAUCUGUGGAAAAGGUUGGAGGGAACGUGGCAUCCUCGGAUGUGUUAUAGCCCUUCUUCGAAUACAUAGAGCGGGACUGAGGAACGCAGCGCGCCUUUUAUUAGGUUGGCCCUCGGGUACAUACGCGC
RNAcentral lists this ribosomal RNA (596 nucleotides) under Mrakia gelida. Its description in RNAcentral is "eukaryotic LSU rRNA". It matches the Rfam family "Eukaryotic large subunit ribosomal RNA", at positions 38 to 616 of the family's 3401-position model. Lineage: Eukaryota; Fungi; Basidiomycota; Tremellomycetes; Cystofilobasidiales; Mrakiaceae. RNAcentral also lists the same sequence under 1 other name. The record is from RNAcentral.